AUUGAACGCUGGCGGCAUGCUUUACACAUGCAAGUCGAACGGCAGCGGGGGUGCUCGCACCUGCCGGCGAGUGGCGAACGGGUGAGUAAUGCAUCGGAACGUGUCCUUAAGUGGGGAAUAACGCAUCGAAAGAUGUGCUAAUACCGCGUAGUCUCUGAGGAGUAAAGCAGGGGAUCGAAAGACCUUGCGCUUAAGGAGCGGCCGAUGUCUGAUUAGCUAGUUGGUAGGGUAAAGGCCCACCAAGGCGACGAUCAGUAGUUGGUCUGAGAGGACGACCAACCACACUGGGACUGAGACACGGCCCAGACUCCUACGGGAGGCAGCAGUGGGGAAUUUUGGACAAUGGGCGCAAGCCUGAUCCAGCCAUGCCGCGUGAGUGAAGAAGGCCUUCGGGUUGUAAAGCUCUUUCAGUUGGGAAGAAACGAUUGCAACUAAUAAUUGUAAUUAAUGACGGUACCGACAGAAGAAGCACCGGCUAACUACGUGCCAGCAGCCGCGGUAAUACGUAGGGUGCGAGCGUUAAUCGGAAUUACUGGGCGUAAAGGGUGCGCAGGCGGUUUUGUAAGUCAGAUGUGAAAUCCCCGGGCUUAACCUGGGAAUGGCGUUUGAAACUACAAGGCUAGAGUGUGUCAGAGGGGGGUGGAAUUCCACGUGUAGCAGUGAAAUGCGUAGAGAUGUGGAGGAACACCAAUGGCGAAGGCAGCCCCCUGGGAUAACACUGACGCUCAUGUACGAAAGCGUGGGUAGCAAACAGGAUUAGAUACCCUGGUAGUCCACGCCCUAAACGAUGUCAACUGGUUGUUGGGGGAGUGAAAUCCCUUAGUAACGAAGCUAACGCGUGAAGUUGACCGCCUGGGGAGUACGGUCGCAAGAUUAAAACUCAAAGGAAUUGACGGGGACCCGCACAAGCGGUGGAUGAUGUGGUUUAAUUCGAUGCAACGCGAAGAAUCUUACCUGGCCUUGACAUGUCCGGAAUCCUGCAGAGAUGCGGGAGUGCCUUCGGGAAUCGGAACACAGGUGCUGCAUGGCUGUCGUCAGCUCGUGUCGUGAGAUGUUGGGUUAAGUCCCGCAACGAGCGCAACCCUUGUCCUUAGUUGCCAGCGAGUAAUGUCG
RNAcentral lists this ribosomal RNA (1113 nucleotides) under uncultured bacterium. RNAcentral describes it as "bacterial SSU rRNA". It matches the Rfam family "Bacterial small subunit ribosomal RNA", at positions 28 to 1133 of the family's 1533-position model. The record is from RNAcentral.